This 452-nucleotide ribosomal RNA is filed under the name Actinomadura sp. EYN-10-1. Its description in RNAcentral is "bacterial SSU rRNA". It matches the Rfam family "Bacterial small subunit ribosomal RNA", at positions 60 to 527 of the family's 1533-position model. The record is from RNAcentral. Lineage: Bacteria; Bacillati; Actinomycetota; Actinomycetes; Streptosporangiales; Thermomonosporaceae.
AGUCGAGCGGAAAGGCCCCUUCGGGGGUACUCGAGCGGCGAACGGGUGAGUAACACGUGAGCAACCUGCCCCUGACUCUGGGAUAAGCCCGGGAAACUGGGUCUAAUACCGGAUAUGACCACGGGUCGCAUGGCCUUGUGGUGGAAAGUUUUUCGGUUGGGGAUGGGCUCGCGGCCUAUCAGCUUGUUGGUGGGGUGAUGGCCUACCAAGGCGACGACGGGUAACCGGCCUGAGAGGGCGACCGGUCACACUGGGACUGAGACACGGCCCAGACUCCUACGGGAGGCAGCAGUGGGGAAUAUUGCGCAAUGGGCGGAAGCCUGACGCAGCGACGCCGCGUGGGGGAUGACGGCCUUCGGGUUGUAAACCUCUUUCAGCAGGGACGAAGCUAACGUGACGGUACCUGCAGAAGAAGCGCCGGCUAACUACGUGCCAGCAGCCGCGGUAAUUCC